Molecule: ribosomal RNA, 253 nt
Filed under: uncultured bacterium
Lineage: Bacteria
Description: partial 16S ribosomal RNA
Rfam family: Bacterial small subunit ribosomal RNA
Source: RNAcentral
GACAGAGGGUGCAAGCGUUGCUCGGAAUUAUUGGGCGUAAAGCGCGUGUAGGCGGCUUGGCAAGUCGGGUGUGAAAGCCCUGGGCUCAACCCAGGAAGUGCGCCCGAAACUGCUUUGCUUGAGUACCGGAGAGGGUCGCGGAAUUCCCCAAGUAGAGGUGAAAUUCGUAGAUAUGGGGAGGAACACCGGUGGCGAAGGCGGCGACCUGGACGGAUACUGACGCUGAGACGCGAAAGCGUGGGGAGCAAACAGG